GAAAGGCAACCUCGAGGCAGCAGCAGAACAGUAUCUCUGCUCUCAGCUAAGAACAGAAAACUGAGGCUACAGUUGACACAGGAUCACCAAAGUGGACAAUAGAAAAGGAGAAGUGGGAAAAGCAGUUCCUGGUAAAGUGGAAAUAUUGGCCCGAAAAAUUCAACAGUUGGAUCAAGGCCUCGGAAAUAAAAAAAUCUAUAAUUAGGAAGAGGAAUUGUGAUUUAACACAACAGAAUCUGCGGUUGGAGAUCCAGAAGACCAGAAGAUUUGAGAAGAAAGCAGCAACAGGGAAAAACUGAGCCACUUCAUCUAGAAAGAAAGACAGACGGUCCAAAGCAGAGGAACCGACUGAGAAGGAGCUAAGAUCCUGAAGACGUGGAUCUGACACGGCAAGAAGGAUUAGCGAGAUAACGGACAGCUUUCCCGCUUGGACCCAGAAAACAGUUCCAGGUUGACAGAAUCAGAACUCAUCAACCCACAGACAGGACCUGAUUCUGGUUCAUCUUCAUUCACCUGAACAUGCAGCAGCGAAGAAACGGGAGAGGAUUCUGGGAGAAUUAUGUAGAAGGAAAUCAUUUGAAGCUGCCUGAGCUGAAGGAAGCAGCAAGAGAAAUUAACCUCGUUAACAACUACAUCUACAGAGAUGACAUCCCAGAAUAUCCUCGACCUCAGUUUCAGGUCAGUUUUCUGAAACAUGAUACAACAGCAGAAGGCUUGAAAGGAAUCCGGCAGGAUAGAGGCUUCAGAGAUCUAUGUGGAGGCUUUAGAGAUCCACAUGAAAGAUCUCUGGUUUGGUGGAGUCUGUCUGUGAGAGAUGAAGAUAUGGAAGCUGCAGAGAAGAAGCUGAUGGAGGAGGAGUACUCCGGUAUGAACGGGCAGAUCAACCUGGCGAGGUUCGCCACCUCCCCAGCCUUUUCUCCAAAAUCCCGGUUGGGCCACUUCCGCUUCACCUUCCCCCUGGAGGAGGUACUAAAGGCAUACAGUCAGCAGUUCUGCAGUGGUGGUCAGCCCGUCAUGCAGGUCUAUAAGACGGUCCUUUACAAACAGGAAAUUAUGUAUGCGGUGUUGGUCCACAGUCCAGAUGAUCAGGAGGACUCGACUGAAGACCCGAACGCCGUCUGCUUCUUCAGAGACGGCAGGUUCUUGUGGAGGUCAGAGGCCAUGUGUGGGACACACCGGUAUAAGCUCAACAAAAACAACAACAGUUUAGGAGUGGAGGAGAUCCCUCCUUAUCCUCCGAAAUAUUAUGUCUGGGACAAUGUUGCCAUCGCGUUCGAUGUUGGGGAAGAGGUGCUGGAGUUUAAUGUGGAUCAGCUCAGACAGAACCUGAAGUACUGCGAGCUAGACUCUGUGACGUACAACUUCACUGACAAGCUGACUGCUGAACAAGCUGAAGAACUGAUCAGAGACUUGUGGCCAGAGUCCCCGGUGGAGAAUCUGCCCCGUCACACUGGAGACGGUGAUGCUCCUCCCCCUGAGCGUCCUUCAUAAAAACCUCAUGUAGCUCCGCCCACCUGCGGCGUCUCCUGGUCUUAUAUUUACUGUUAUCUUUGCUCUGAUUUGCUUGCUGUAACCCCCCCCCCAUCCCCACCAAUCACAGACGUGUGUGAAGUUGUUGAUUAUGCUGAUGAUUCUCUAUUAUUAGGAUCAAUAAUAAUCCUGAUGGAUUUUAUGUUGGAUGAUUUCUGAUCAUGUCUGUGUGAUCUCAUGAUGUUUUAUAUGAUUAUUCCUAAAGACAAAUAUUUGAUGUUAUUGCUUUUACUGCAUUUUGGAGUCAUUAACUGGAGUUUAAUAUUUUAAUAAUGAUUUAUUUUAACGAUUUUGAUGAAUUUAGAAGAUUUUAUUCAAAUCAAAAGGGCAAGUGUGAUGUUACCUUCUUCUCUUAAUCUUUUGGGUAAAGGUUUACUUUCUUGUUGAGGUGAAGGUUUUGUGUUCUCUGCUGUAGAUGCUAAACUCUGUUGUAGAAACCAGAAAGACUUGUUAGGAUUUAAACAAGUCUUCACUUGUCCUUCAGUCGUGGUGGAGACAUCUCCACGUUUCUUUUUGAAAAUCACUGAGAAUCAAAGAGGAGUGCAGAGCCUUCAUUCUACGCACUCACUUCAUGCAGAAAUUGUAAUAA
This is a long non-coding RNA of Oryzias javanicus (javanese ricefish), 2119 nucleotides long. The record is from Ensembl. Lineage: Eukaryota; Metazoa; Chordata; Actinopteri; Beloniformes; Adrianichthyidae.